GAUGAACGCUGGCGGCGUGCCUAAUACAUGCAAGUCGAGCGAACAGACGAGGAGCUUGCUCCUCUGACGUUAGCGGCGGACGGGUGAGUAACACGUGGAUAACCUACCUAUAAGACUGGGAUAACUUCGGGAAACCGGAGCUACUUCGGGCUAAUAUAUUGAACCGCAUGGUUCAUUGGGUAACGCGGGUUUUGCGGUUCCUUUAGGCAGACCCGCGCCGCCCUAGCUAGGUGGAAAGGUAACGGGUUACCAAGGCGACGGUGCCUAGCCGACCUGAGAGGGUGAUCGGCCACACUUGAACUGAGACACGGGCCAGACUCCGACGGGAGGCAGCAGUAGGGAAUCUUCCGCAAUGGGCGAAAGCCUGACGGAGCAACGCCGCGUGAGUGAUGAAGGUCUUCGGAUCGUAAAACUCUGUUAUUAGGGAAGAACAAAUGUGUAAGUAACUAUGCACAUCUUGACGGUACCUAAUCAGAAAGCCACGGCUAACUACGU
Molecule: ribosomal RNA, 495 nt
Filed under: uncultured bacterium
Lineage: Bacteria
Description: partial 16S ribosomal RNA
Rfam family: Bacterial small subunit ribosomal RNA
Source: RNAcentral